Molecule: long non-coding RNA, 1001 nt
Organism: Leopardus geoffroyi (Geoffroy's cat)
Lineage: Eukaryota; Metazoa; Chordata; Mammalia; Carnivora; Felidae
Exons: 3
Source: RefSeq, a predicted model, not a curated record
CUGUUUGUCCCUGUGCUGUGUGGCCAGCCCGGGCAGCGUCAGUGAAGCAGAGGAGUGCGGAGUUGAUGGGAGGACCACGUGGAACCUCACGGAAACAGACAAUCAUAAGGCCACCCUUCCGCAGUGUGUUUUGUGGGAGGCGCUCUCCAGAGAACCUGUCACCCACGCACACAGUUACUGCCGCCCUAGCCAGCAUCUCCCAGUUUGAUGAUGGAGGCACACUACCUCCUGCCUUUGCCAGCCCUUAGGAGAGGCUUACGUCCUGCUCUGGGGAGCUCUGGACUGGAGCGGUGGUGAGCUGCAGGUGCACGGAAAGGUGCUACCCACAUCUGCUCCUUCUUCUCUGCUCCUCUUCUAGGCUAUUCCUGUGAGCAACAGGGCUCAAGCCCGUAGGAGACACCACAGAAAAUGCGUUAAAGUUAUCGAACCAAAGGGUGAAACAGUUGAGAUUUUUUUUCCAGCUUUCCAUCUGUCAUUGAUUUGAUGGCUGCUUGCGAGGACAUUAAUUUUCUGGCACUUCUGGCUUGCUCUGCGUGUCGGCCACGUGUGCUCCCUCAGCCAGAAAAAUAAAAAUAGCCCUUAUGUGAUUGCAGUAAGAAAACUUGAUCUCUUAGAGGUGAAUUCUGAGGGGAUACGAACACUGAUACCACAACAUCUACUACGGAGGCACAUACCUGGAAUACGUCUGUCAUAAGGUGGAUUCAAGCUGGCGGGCCUGGGUUUGAAUGCUGAUUUGCUACGUAAUCUUGAUUAAAGCUCAUAAAUUUUUAUAGCUUCAGUGUCUUCAUCUAUAAACAAAAACAAUGCCUCCAUUAAAGGACACUUGUCCAGAUUAGAUGGGGCUAUGAAUGAAUGUAUAGAUUAACACAGAACUAAGCACUUAUGACAGCCUAAUGACUAGAAACUUGUUGUUCAGUGAAGUAUUUACUAAGUAUGUACUAUGUGCCAAGCCCAUGGUAGAUGUUAGAGACGGAGAUGAAUAAAACAAAUGCAAAACCUCA